Molecule: ribosomal RNA, 1963 nt
Filed under: human gut metagenome
Description: bacterial LSU rRNA
Rfam family: Bacterial large subunit ribosomal RNA
Source: RNAcentral
UCAAGCUAUAAAGAGCGCAAGGGGAAUGCCUUGGCAUCAGGAGCCGACGAAGGACGUGACAAGCUGCGAUAAGCUUCGGGGAGGAGCAAAUAUCCUGUGAUCCGGAGAUUUCCGAAUGGGGAAACCCACUGGAGCAAUACUCCAGUAACGUGCAUUGAACAAAAUAGGUGUACGUGGGGAACCGCCUGAACUGAAACAUCUAAGUAGGGCGAGGAAAAGACAUCAACCGAGAUUCCGUAAGUAGUGGCGAGCGAACACGGAGUAGGCCAAACCGGAGGAUUUAUUCUCCGGGGUUAGGACUUGCAUCAUGAUCAGAAGAAUCUAACAGAACGGCAUGGGAAGGCCGGCCACAGAGGGUGAGAGCCCCGUACGUGAAAGAGGAAGCUGACAGCGAGUAUCCAGAGUACCGCGGGACACGUGAAACCCCGCGGGAAAACGGGUGGACCACCAUCCAAGCCUAAAUACUACCUGAUGACCGAUAGAGGAGCAGUACCGUGAGGGAAAGGUGAAAAGGACCCCGGGAGGGGAGUGAAAGAGAACCUGAAACCUUGUGCUUACAAGCACUCAAAGCACGUUAAAGUGUGAUGAGGUACUUUUUGUAGAACGGUCCGGCGAGUUAUAGUAACGAGCAAGCUUAAGGUAUUCAGUACCGGAGGCGAAGCGAGAGCGAGUCUGAAUAGGGCGCAUAAAGUUCGUUGCCAUAGACCCGAAACCGGGUGACCUAACCAUGAGCAGGCUGAAGUGAGAGUAAAAUCUCAUGGAGGGCCGAACGCACGUUCGUUGCAAUGACCGGCGAUGACUUGUGGUUAGCGGAGAAAUUCCAAUCGAACUCGGAGAUAGCUGGUUCUCCCCGAAAUAGCUUUAGGGCUAGCGUUAUCUUAGAUUACCGGAGGUAAAGCACUGAAUGGGCUAGGGGGCGAUAAGCUUACUGAACCCUAUCAAACUCUGAAUGCCGGAUAAUUGAUGGAUAGCAGUCAGACAGUGUGAGAUAAGUUUCAUUGUCAAAAGGGAAACAGCCCAGACCCACAGCUAAGGUCCCAAAUGUAUGCUAAGUGGAAAACGAUGUGGAGUUGCGAAAACAACCAGGAUGUUGGCUUAGAAGCAGCCACUCAUUAAAAGAGUGCGUAAUAGCUCACUGGUCGAGUGAUUCUGCGCGGAAAAUGUAACGGGGCUAAGCGUAACACCGAAGCUUGGGAUGCAGCAAUGCAUGGUAGGGGAGCGUCGAAUACGGGGUGAAGUCGCAGCGGAAGCAGCGGUGGACUGUAUUCGAGUGAGAAUGCCGGAAUGAGUAGCGAGAAUUAUGUGGGAAUCAUAAUGGCCGAAAAUCUAAGGUUUCUUGGGGAAGGUUCGUCCGCCCAAGGUAAGCCGGGAGCUAAGGCGAGGCCGCAAGGCGUAGUCGAUGCACAUACGGUAGAAAUUCCGUAGCCACCGAACCUUAAACCGGAAGGACACUUUCAGAUAGCGGAACCCAGCCGUUGGUAGAGCUGGGCGAAAGGGACUGAAAUAUAGUAGGGAAGUCUGCGAUGCUGAGAGGCGAGAAAAGCUCCGGUGUAUGCUAAGGUGCCCGUACCGCAAACCGACACAGGUAGAUGAGGAGAGAAUCCUAAGGCCAACGGGAGAAGGGUUGUUAAGGAACUCGGCAAAUUGACCCCGUAACUUCGGAAGAAGGGGAGCCCCGAAAGGGGCCGCAGUGAAUAGGCCCAAGCAACUGUUUACCAAAAACACAGGUUUAUGCUAAAUCGAAAGAUGACGUAUAUGAGCUGACGCCUGCCCGGUGCCGGAAGGUUAAGAGGAGAUGUCAACCUUAAGGUGAAGCAUUGAAUUGAAGCCCCGGUAAACGGCGGCCGUAACUAUAACGGUCCUAAGGUAGCGAAAUUCCUUGUCAGGUAAGUUCUGACCCGCACGAAUGGCGUAAUGAUUUGGGCACUGUCUCAACAGCCCGCCCGGCGAAAUUGUAGUACUG